Molecule: long non-coding RNA, 892 nt
Organism: Mya arenaria
Lineage: Eukaryota; Metazoa; Mollusca; Bivalvia; Myida; Myidae
Exons: 8
Source: RefSeq, a predicted model, not a curated record
UCGGUGGGAGGCGCUGUAUUUAAUUGUUGGAGUCAAUGAUCUUGAGGUCCAACCGUGACAACAUCUACAUACCUGCAGCAGCCGUCCUACUGACUUGUACAUUAAUAGCCGACAAAUUGAACUGUGUCAUCUUGGAAGAGUGUGUCAACAGAAUUCUAUCCAACCGCCAGUCGGUGACAUUGCCAGAAUUAAAACUGCAUUGGGCCACUCGCAGGAACCUCCUUAUUUAUGGACCAUCGGUGGGAGGCGCUGUAUUUAAUUGUUGGAGUCAAUGAUCUUGAGGUCCAACCGUGACAACAUCUACAUACCUGCAGCAGCCGUCCUACUGACUUGUACAUUAAUAGCCGACAAAUUGAACUGUGUCAUCUUGGAAGAGUGUGUCAACAGAAUUCUAUCCAACCGCCAGUCGGUGACAUUGCCAGAAUUAAAACUGCAUUGGGCCACUCGCAGGAACCUCCUUAUUUAUGGACCAUCGGUGGGAGGCGCUGUAUUUAAUUGUUGGAGUCAAUGAUCUUGAGGUCCAACCGUGACAACAUCUACAUACCUGCAGCAGCCGUCCUACUGACUUGUACAUUAAUAGCCGACAAAUUGAACUGUGUCAUCUUGGAAGAGUGUGUCAACAGAAUUCUAUCCAACCGCCAGUCGGUGACAUUGCCAGAAUUAAAACUGCAUUGGGCCACUCGCAGGAACCUCCUUAUUUAUGGACCAUCGGUGGGAGGCGCUGUAUUUAAUUGUUGGAGUCAAUGAUCUUGAGGUCCAACCGUGACAACAUCUACAUACCUGCAGCAGCCGUCCUACUGACUUGUACAUUAAUAGCCGACAAAUUGAACUGUGUCAUCUUGGAAGAGUGUGUCAACAGAAUUCUAUCCAACCGCCAGUCGGUGACAUUGCC